Molecule: ribosomal RNA, 450 nt
Filed under: uncultured bacterium
Lineage: Bacteria
Description: partial 16S ribosomal RNA
Rfam family: Bacterial small subunit ribosomal RNA
Source: RNAcentral
GUGGGGAAUUUUGGACAAUGGGCGCAAGCCUGAUCCAGCCAUUCCGCGUGCAGGAUGAAGGCCUUCGGGUUGUAAACUGCUUUUGUACGGAACGAAAAGGUUCUCUCUAAUACAGGGGGCUGAUGACGGUACCGUAAGAAUAAGCACCGGCUAACUACGUGCCAGCAGCCGCGGUAAUACGUAGGGUGCGAGCGUUAAUCGGAAUUACUGGGCGUAAAGCGUGCGCAGGCGGUGCUGUAAGACAGGCGUGAAAUCCCCGGGCUCAACCUGGGAAUUGCGCUUGUGACUGCAGUGCUGGAGUACGGCAGAGGGGGAUGGAAUUCCGCGUGUAGCAGUGAAAUGCGUAGAUAUGCGGAGGAACACCGAUGGCGAAGGCAGUCCCCUGGGCCUGUACUGACGCUCAUGCACGAAAGCGUGGGGAGCAAACAGGAUUAGAAACCCCUGUAGUCC